GAUGAACGCUGGCGGCGUGCCUAAUACAUGCAAGUCGAGCGAACAGACGAGGAGCUUGCUCCUCUGACGUUAGCGGCGGACGGGUGAGUAACACGUGGAUAACCUACCUAUAAGACUGGGAUAACUUCGGGAAACCGGAGCUAAUACCGGAUAAUAUAUUGAACCGCAUGGUUCAAUAGUGAAAGACGGUUUUGCUGUCACUUAUAGAUGGAUCCGCGCCGCAUUAGCUAGUUGGUAAGGUAACGGCUUACCAAGGCAACGAUGCGUAGCCGACCUGAGAGGGUGAUCGGCCACACUGGAACUGAGACACGGACCAGACUCCUACGGGAGGCAGCAGUAGGGAAUCUUCCGCAAGGGGCGAAAGCCUGACGGAGCAACGCCGCGUGAGUGAUGAAGGUCUUCGGAUCGUAAAACUCUGUUAUUAGGGAAGAACAAAUGUGUAAGUAACUAUGCACGUCUUGACGGUACCUAAUCAGAAAGCCACGGCUAACUACG
Molecule: ribosomal RNA, 495 nt
Filed under: uncultured bacterium
Lineage: Bacteria
Description: partial 16S ribosomal RNA
Rfam family: Bacterial small subunit ribosomal RNA
Source: RNAcentral